This 294-nucleotide long non-coding RNA is filed under the name Callithrix jacchus (white-tufted-ear marmoset). RNAcentral's name for it is "lncRNA (ENSCJAG00000070372.1)". Lineage: Eukaryota; Metazoa; Chordata; Mammalia; Primates; Cebidae. The record is from RNAcentral.
UCAGAGCAGAAAAUAAUGAGGCAAUAUACUUCCUUAAACAGAUUCAGUUCAUCAUCGCCGAGGCCUGCGCAGGGGAGGACGGUUGGGGGCACCUUCCAUUGUCGGCGUGGCGGCUCCUUUCUGAGCAGACAGGUUACCCCACCUGAACAUCCUCCUGGGAGGAAGCAGGGCGUGAAUCCGAGGGAAUUAGUGAAGUCAUUCCCUAGCCAUCCUCGAUGGCGGAGCGGUGGUGUGUCUCAGCAAAAAGGUUUGUCAUUGCAGGGGCUGGAGGGCUUAGACCUAGCAGAGGCCCAG